This 1077-nucleotide ribosomal RNA is filed under the name uncultured Ralstonia sp. Its description in RNAcentral is "bacterial SSU rRNA". It matches the Rfam family "Bacterial small subunit ribosomal RNA", at positions 34 to 1199 of the family's 1533-position model. The record is from RNAcentral. Lineage: Bacteria; Pseudomonadati; Pseudomonadota; Betaproteobacteria; Burkholderiales; Burkholderiaceae.
UUUUGGGGGCUCCCUCCAGCAUCGAACGGUGAUCUACUUGUAUUGAUGGCGAGUGGCGAACGGGUGAGUAAUACAUCGGAACGUGCCCUGUGGGGGGAUAACUAGUCAAAGAUUAGCUAAUACCGCAUACGACCUGAGGGUGAAAGUGGGGGACCGCAAGGCCUCAUGCUAUAGGAGCGGCCGAUGUCUGAUUAGCUAGUUGGGGGUAAGGCUCACCAGGCGACAUCAGUAGCUGGUCUGAAGGACGAUCACCACACGGGACUGAACACGGCCCAACUCCUACGGGAGGCAGCAGGGGUUUUGGACAGGGCAAAGCUGAUCCAGCAUGCCGCGUGUGUAAAAGGCCUUCGGGUUGUAAAGCAUUUUGUCCGGAAAAAAUGGCUCUGGUUAAUACCUGGGGUCGAUGACGGUACCGGAAAAUAAGGACCGGCUAACUACGUGCCAGCAGCCGCGGUAAUACGUAGGGUCCAAGCGUUAAUCGGAAUUACUGGGCGUAAAGCGUGCGCAAGCGGUUGUGCAAGACCGAUGUGAAAUCCCCGAGCUUAACUUGGGAAUUGCAUUGGUGACUGCACGGCUAGAGUGUGUCAGAGGGGGGUAGAAUUCCACGUGUAGCAGUGAAAUGCGUAGAGAUGUGGAGGAAUACCGAUGGCGAAGGCAGCCCCCUGGGAUAACACUGACGCUCAUGCACGAAAGCGUGGGGAGCAAACAGGAUUAGAUACCCUGGUAGUCCACGCCCUAAACGAUGUCAACUAGUUGUUGGGGAUUCAUUUCCUUAGUAACGUAGCUAACGCGUGAAGUUGACCGCCUGGGGAGUACGGUCGCAAGAUUAAACUCAAAGGAAUUGACGGGGACCCGCACAAGCGGUGGAUGAUGUGGAUUAAUUCGAUGCAACGCGAAAAACUUACUACUUGACAUGCCACUAACGAAGCAGAGAUGAUUAUGUGCUCGAAAGAGAAAGUACGUGCUGCAUGGCUGUCGUCAGCUCGUGUCGUGAGAUGUGGGGUCCCGCAGAGCGCGCCUCUACUACGAAGGUCUAAGACUCGAGAGGUGAGGAUUGGACGUUCAGCCAUGCAUGGG